Molecule: ribosomal RNA, 694 nt
Filed under: uncultured bacterium
Lineage: Bacteria
Description: bacterial SSU rRNA
Rfam family: Bacterial small subunit ribosomal RNA
Source: RNAcentral
GGAUAACGUUUGGAAACGAACGCUAAUACCGCAUGAUAUUAUUGAGCUGCAUGGCUUGAUAAUCAAAGGAGCAAUCCGCUGAAAGAUGGGCUCGCGUCCGAUUAGGUAGUUGGCGGGGCAACGGCCCACCAAGCCGACGAUCGGUAGCCGGACUGAGAGGUUGAACGGCCACAUUGGGACUGAGACACGGCCCAGACUCCUACGGGAGGCAGCAGUGAGGGAUAUUGGUCAAUGGGGGAAACCCUGAACCAGCAACGCCGCGUGAGGGAAGACGGUUUUCGGAUUGUAAACCUCUGUCCUCUGUGAAGAUAAUGACGGUAGCAGAGGAGGAAGCUCCGGCUAACUACGUGCCAGCAGCCGCGGUAAUACGUAGGGAGCAAGCGUUGUCCGGAUUUACUGGGUGUAAAGGGUGCGUAAGCGGCUUUGCAAGUCAGAAGUGAAAUCCAUGGGCUUAACCCAUGAACUGCUUUUGAAGCUGCAGAGCUUGAGUGGAGUAGAGGUAGGCGGAAUUCCCGGUGUAGCGGUGAAAUGCGUAGAGAUCGGGAGGAACACCAGUGGCGAAGGCGGCCUGCUGGGCUCUAACUGACGCUGAGGCACGAAAGCGUGGGUAGCAAACAGGAUUAGAUACCCUGGUAGUCCACGCUGUAAACGAUGAUUACUAGGUGUGGGUGGACUGACCCCAUCCGUGCCGGAG